RNAcentral lists this non-coding RNA (125 nucleotides) under Labrenzia sp. RNAcentral describes it as "SAM-I-IV sequence". It matches the Rfam family "SAM-I/IV (S-adenosyl methionine) riboswitch aptamer". Rfam says of the family: It is found upstream of a number of genes which code for proteins involved in methionine or cysteine biosynthesis. It has been found mostly in the order Actinomycetales. Lineage: Bacteria; Pseudomonadati; Pseudomonadota; Alphaproteobacteria; Hyphomicrobiales; Stappiaceae. The record is from RNAcentral.
CGCCAUCAUCAAGAGAAGGGCUGGCGCCCUCGCCAACCUGCCGUUCCGGGCAAGGUGGUUUCCGCAACAGGGAUGCGGCUGGUCAGACCCUCAACCGAGGCUUUCCGGCAACUAAGCGGUUAAUU